CCGCUGCCUCUUUUACCUGUCCCUUGUUAGGUGGUGCGCUUGUCCCGUGGGAAUCGUUCGGGACUCCUGACUCUGCCGGCUUCUCUCGGUUUCUGUUCUGUGUACAUUGUGGUGGGAUCGGCUGCAAAGAGCAGGCUAAAAAGCAACCCUGAGAGUAUUGGGCAAAAGAUCCAGGAAAGAAGAUGAUUUAAUAGAAAACCUUAUUCCUCUAACGCAGUCGUAUUCAGCAUUCUGCAGCUGACGCUUCUUCACAGCAUGGUGGCUGGCUUCCAACAGUCCCAGGAGACAGAGUCGGGCUAUGUCACCUUUUCUAACCUAGCUUCGGAACGCCUGCGGUCUCCCUCCCACCAAACCUGUUACGGAGUCGCAAAGGCCCAGUCGGUUCGAGAGGACAGGAAAUAGACUCCAGCUCUUGAUGGAAAAGAGGCAAGAUUCUGGUGGCACGUAAGGAUUGGAAACACCAUUGCAGCCAUUUGGGGAAAUCCAACCUAUCAAAACCAGCAGCAAAUAAAUAUAAUUUUCAUAAAACAUAAGGGCGCCAAAAUCAUAAAAUACGUGGGGAAAAAUUCAUGAAAGAUGUGCAAGACCUCCACAUUGAAAACAAGGGACCCAAAGAAGAAAAUCAAAGACAUUACCUGAUCUCAAGUCUUAUUGUCGUGCUAAUGCUGAUCAAGACAGCGUAGUAUAGACAGGUGCAGAGACACGUCACUGAAACAGAGAGUCCAGAAAUACCACUAAAUAACUCUGACAAAGGCACCCAAACAAUUCAAUAGGGAAAAUAGUCUUUUCGAUAAAUGGUGCUAAAACUUGAUGUUCAUGUGGAAAAAAAUUAAGCCUUGAUCCCUUAACCAUAACACAAUAAUUAACUCAAAAUGGAUCGUAAACGUGAGUGUAAAAAAACUAGCCAUGUACAGCUUCUAGAAGAAACCAUUUCUUAGACAAGACCUGGAAAGUACCAUAAAAGAAAAAACUUUUAUCAGACAUCACCAAAAAUAAAACUUCUGUUCAUCAAAAAACAACACCAAGAAAAUAAACAGGCAGGCACAGUCCAGGAGAAAACAUUCACAAUGCACACACGUCUGACAAAGGACCUGUUUCUAGAAUAUAUGAGUAACUCCUACAACUCAAUACUCCCAAGACAAAUCUAAUUCGUUAAUAAUCAGGAAAAUGCAGAUUCAAACACGAUGACAUAUCAGUACACAGCAGGAUGCUUAGAAAUAAAGAUUAACAACUCCAAAUACUGUAGGAGUGGCGAUACUUGGCUGGUGGGAGUGUCCAAUGCUAUAACCACUUUGAAAAACUCAUAGUUUCCUACACAGUCACAUAUCCACCUUCCCUAUGACCCAGAAAUUCUACGUAUUUGCCCAAGAGAAAUUUACACAUAUUUACAAAAAGACUUACAAAUGAGUAUUAAUAACAGUGGGGCACCUGGGUAGCUCAGGUGGUUAUGUGUCCAACUCGAUUUUGGUUCAG
Long non-coding RNA from Felis catus (domestic cat), 1473 nucleotides. RefSeq lists it as uncharacterized. The record is from RefSeq and is a predicted model, not a curated record. The transcript is spliced from 3 exons. Lineage: Eukaryota; Metazoa; Chordata; Mammalia; Carnivora; Felidae.